This 659-nucleotide ribosomal RNA is filed under the name Staphylococcus aureus. RNAcentral describes it as "bacterial SSU rRNA". It matches the Rfam family "Bacterial small subunit ribosomal RNA", at positions 182 to 828 of the family's 1533-position model. The record is from RNAcentral. Lineage: Bacteria; Bacillati; Bacillota; Bacilli; Caryophanales; Staphylococcaceae.
UGAACCGCAUGGUUCAAAAGUGAAAGACGGUCUUGCUGUCACUUAUAGAUGGAUCCGCGCUGCAUUAGCUAGUUGGUAAGGUAACGGCUUACCAAGGCAACGAUGCAUAGCCGACCUGAGAGGGUGAUCGGCCACACUGGAACUGAGACACGGUCCAGACUCCUACGGGAGGCAGCAGUAGGGAAUCUUCCGCAAUGGGCGAAAGCCUGACGGAGCAACGCCGCGUGAGUGAUGAAGGUCUUCGGAUCGUAAAACUCUGUUAUUAGGGAAGAACAUAUGUGUAAGUAACUGUGCACAUCUUGACGGUACCUAAUCAGAAAGCCACGGCUAACUACGUGCCAGCAGCCGCGGUAAUACGUAGGUGGCAAGCGUUAUCCGGAAUUAUUGGGCGUAAAGCGCGCGUAGGCGGUUUUUUAAGUCUGAUGUGAAAGCCCACGGCUCAACCGUGGAGGGUCAUUGGAAACUGGAAAACUUGAGUGCAGAAGAGGAAAGUGGAAUUCCAUGUGUAGCGGUGAAAUGCGCAGAGAUAUGGAGGAACACCAGUGGCGAAGGCGACUUUCUGGUCUGUAACUGACGCUGAUGUGCGAAAGCGUGGGGAUCAAACAGGAUUAGAUACCCUGGUAGUCCACGCCGUAAACGAUGAGUGCUAAGUGUUAGGG